Molecule: ribosomal RNA, 164 nt
Filed under: uncultured bacterium
Lineage: Bacteria
Description: partial 16S ribosomal RNA
Rfam family: Bacterial small subunit ribosomal RNA
Source: RNAcentral
UAGGGAAUCUUCCACAAUGGGCGAAAGCCUGAUGGAGCAACGCCGCGUGUGUGAUGAAGGGUUUCGGCUCGUAAAACUCUGUUGUUAAAGAAGAACAUAUCUGAGAGUAACUGUUCAGGUAUUGACGGUAUUUAACCAGAAAGCCACGGCUAACUACGUGCUAG